GCGGGAAUAGCUCAGUUGGUAGAGCACAACCUUGCCAAGGUUGGGGUCGCUUCGGGGUUAAAGAGCGAGUCUCGUUUUCCAGAC
This 84-nucleotide transfer RNA is filed under the name Endozoicomonas montiporae. RNAcentral describes it as "tRNA-Gly". It matches the Rfam family "tRNA". From Rfam's summary of the family: Transfer RNA (tRNA) molecules are approximately 80 nucleotides in length. Their secondary structure includes four short double-helical elements and three loops (D, anti-codon, and T loops). Lineage: Bacteria; Pseudomonadati; Pseudomonadota; Gammaproteobacteria; Oceanospirillales; Endozoicomonadaceae. The record is from RNAcentral.